UUUCCGUAGGUGAACCUGCGGAAGGAUCAUUACAGAGUGAGGGUCUCUCAGGCCCGACCUACCACCCUGUGUUUUUGUGGCCUUGUUGCUUUGGCGGGUCCGCCCCGAUGAGAGGCCGCCGGACGCCCACCGCUUUGGGCACGUGCCCGCCAGUAGCCCCCUUAAAUUCCUAAUAAAACUGUCGUCCGAGUAUAGAUAUAAUAAAAAAAACUUUCAACAACGGGUCUCCUGGUUCUGUGAUCGAUGAAGAAGGCCGCAGAACGGAAGAGCAAACGUCUA
This 279-nucleotide unclassified non-coding RNA is filed under the name plant metagenome. RNAcentral describes it as "partial contains small subunit ribosomal RNA, internal transcribed spacer 1, and 5.8S ribosomal RNA". The record is from RNAcentral.